UAUUGAUGGUGAGGACAUUGAGAGAAUAGUAGCUUAAAGCACUCUUGUGCUUCAUGUAUUGGCUCUUCGUCCAUCUGUGAAAAUGUACAAAUCUUGUUCCUUAAAUU
Coffea arabica (coffee) is the source of this 107-nucleotide small nucleolar RNA. Lineage: Eukaryota; Viridiplantae; Streptophyta; Magnoliopsida; Gentianales; Rubiaceae. The record is from RefSeq and is a predicted model, not a curated record.